UACGUAGGGCCCAAGCGCUAUCCGGAAUCACUGGGCGUAAAGAGUUUGUAGGCGGUAAUUUAAGUGAGAUGCGAAAUCCUGUGGCUCAACCAUAUGGACUGUGUUUCAAACUGGAUUACUUGAGGUAUGCAGAGGUUAGCGGAAUUUGCGGUGUAGGAGUGAAAUCCGUAGAUAUCGCAAGGAACACCAAUGGCGAAGGCAGCUAACUGGGCAUUACCUGACGCUGAGAAACGAAAGCGUGGGGAGCGAACGGG
Molecule: ribosomal RNA, 254 nt
Filed under: uncultured bacterium
Lineage: Bacteria
Description: partial 16S ribosomal RNA
Rfam family: Bacterial small subunit ribosomal RNA
Source: RNAcentral